GCACGUUCACUCACAUAUGCUGCUUCUACUCCGGAAGUACCAUCCACAUAUAUCUAUCCAUUUCCAUCUCCAGAACCACCCAAAAAUAUUCUACUCCUAAUCCGGGAGAGAAUAGCCAAAAACAUUUUUGUUUUCCCCUGUAAAAUAAAUGCUCAAGUUGUCUUGGUUACUGCCACUUGCUAUAUUAUUUCAUGAGAUGAGUGCUCUAAAAAAAAGAUACGAGGAAAUAAAAAGGGGCAAGUGCCCGGAACCUCGAAAGAAAAGAAAAACUGAGACGAGAGGUAAAAAUGGACAAGUGUCCGACAGUAGAAUUAGGGGUACAAGAUACCCACCUGAGAGGAAAGAAAAAGAAAAUAUAGAGCAUCUCAUUCUCCUCACAAAGUUUUAAAAAGCAAGGAAGGUAUGUAUCCCCUCAAAGAGCAAAAGAAUUAGACUUUCACCAUUGUUAUCACCAUCAUCACCAUACACCAUUCAUUCGCCACACAUGCACAUCUUGAUUUGACUUAUUGAUUUGUUUCUUUGGAUCAAUGGUUUGACUAUGCAAUAAAUGUCUUGUAAGUAUGUAUACUUUAUCUCCCACCUAUGAGCUCC
This 591-nucleotide long non-coding RNA is filed under the name Sorghum bicolor (sorghum). RNAcentral describes it as "long non-coding RNA (SBIC_LNC012318)". Lineage: Eukaryota; Viridiplantae; Streptophyta; Magnoliopsida; Poales; Poaceae. The record is from RNAcentral.